Long non-coding RNA from Oryzias latipes (Japanese medaka), 614 nucleotides. RefSeq lists it as uncharacterized. The record is from RefSeq and is a predicted model, not a curated record. NCBI's taxonomy places the organism in Eukaryota, Metazoa, Chordata, Actinopteri, Beloniformes, Adrianichthyidae.
GGGGUGAUUCUUUUUUCCUACCUUUACAAUUUGGUUUUUUAAAUCUUUUUUGUUUUAUUGAUCCUGGUUGUGCAACCGAAAACUCCAAGGGCCCUUGAAUGGCUCAUGGCAAAUCUGGUGAUGAGUCACAGGUGUGUGUGUGAUCAAGGCGGGUUGGAGUUUUUGAUCCUUUAAAAAGGAUGAACAGCUGGACUUGGAGCAGGAAAAAAGAGGCGCACCACAAGAGCUGCACAAGCAGUGUUGGAAUACCAGCGAUGGGAGCCACACGCGUGGUGUUUUGGAGCACCAGGACGGAGGCUGCACGUGUGGUGUUUUGCAGCAGCAGCAGCAGCAGCGGUUGUGGUGCUUGAAGCAUGCCAGCCCCAGGAAUUGGACAUUGUAGAGUCUGGGCUCGGCCACAUGACUGGGACAGCAAAGUGGAACCAGUGGACCAUGGAACUGGAAAGUGGAGAGGGGACGCGACGAACAACAGCAGAGGGGUGUGGUUGCGACCCACCCCUCUUUCAGAUAAAUGGGGUUUGGACUGCAUGCUCCUCUAAUCAUCCUGGAGCAUUUGGACUGCUGGAGGCCGGACACUAUAGGACUGGACACAAUAAACAUUUUGAAAACUUGCA